This 499-nucleotide ribosomal RNA is filed under the name Mycoplasmopsis californica. Its description in RNAcentral is "bacterial LSU rRNA". It matches the Rfam family "Bacterial large subunit ribosomal RNA", at positions 1 to 500 of the family's 2925-position model. Lineage: Bacteria; Bacillati; Mycoplasmatota; Mycoplasmoidales; Metamycoplasmataceae. The record is from RNAcentral.
UUUUAAAUAAGUAAGAGUUUGUGGUGGAUGCCUUGGGUCUGGAAGUCGAUGAAGGACGUGAUUACCUGCGAUAAGCCUCGUGGAGCUGGAUAUAAGCUACGAAACGGGGAUUUCCGAAUGGGGGAACCUAGCUAGGGUAAUGCCUAGUUGCCAUCUUCUGAAUACAUAGGAAUUUGAGCGAGACACCAUGUGAACUGAAACAUCUUAGUAGCAUGAGGAAAAGAAAAUAAACAAUGAUUUUUUUAGUAGCGGCGAGCGAACGAGAAAGAGCCCAAACCACAUUAGUGGGGUUGUAGGACAAUCUAUACAGAGUUACAAAGUUAAAUGAUAGCAGAAACGUUUGGGAAGACGUAGCAUAGAGGGUGAUACUCCCGUAAGUGAAAUUAUUUAACCUCUUGAUUGUAUCCUGAGUAGGGCGGGGCACGUGAAACCCUGUCUGAAUCUGCCGGGACCACCCGGUAAGGCUAAAUACUAACCAGACACCGAUAGUGAACUAGUA